UACAGACCUGGCCACAGCUCGAGGGGGGCUCCGUGGACACUACCACAGCCUCCUGAUUAAUUCCUCAGCAGAGGCAGGGCUGCUUCCUGUCCCAUCUCCCUCCAAGGGCCCUUGCUGAGCCCUGCAGGCUGGGCCAGGCAUCCCCGUGUCCCCCCCCCCCCAUCUCCGUGCUGAUCGCUUUGGGUGACAGCAGUGGGCUCCAGGGCCGCAGGCGCGAAGGGCAGCUCGGACACCUGGCACGAGGAGGGGCGAGGAGAGCUGUGAGCGAACAGUCCUUAUCGCCUCUCAGGACAUACCUCUCACCUGUGUGUUGGAAACUGGGCGCUGCCCACAGGUGUGGGAGACUCACCACCAAGGACCUGCUUACCCAGCGCCUCCACACGCCUUGGUCAGAGGCGUAGGAUCCCUUCCCACCUCCGAGGUGGUCAGCUGGGCGGGGCCAGUCCCCCGCCCGCGUGCAUGCCCGCCCACCCGCACUCAGCGCUCACGACUCCAGGAGGGCACUGGUGAGUUAGCCCCCUUUUCUAAACGACAAAGUUGGGGCUCAGAGAGGCACAGAGACACGCAAGGCUGCACAGGCGCCUCUGCUUGCGGGAGGAGGCCUCCGGCACCUGGUUACGCUUCAGGCUGCGCCUGGGAGCACCUGCCCUCACCCUAACCUGGGGGCUGGUGCUCUUCACUGAUAGCCUUGCUGGUGCCUGGGUGGAGGAGGGAGCACCUGCCCUGUGGAAGUCCCUCCUGGGACCUGGCUGCAGUCUUUCCUGUUGCCAAGUUGCCCUUGGUGGGCCCUGCUCAGAGCUGGUGACGUUGUGAAAGGCAGGAAAAGACCCUGAGAAUGAAGCGAACCCAGAGGCAUCCGAGUCACAGAGCUAGGGGAGAAGGGUGAAUACGGAGAUCUGACAGACAUCCAAGCCACAGGGCAAGCUGGGGCCCCGUGACCCUCAAGGCCUGCCUGGAGCCCCUUGCAUUUAGCAGGAAGCUGGGAACUCAGUUCUGGGGAGGGAGUCGGGACUCCUCGUGCUGCCCAUGCAGGGGUCACUCAGAACCGGGGAGGCAGCCUUGGGCCAGGUAGGAGCCUGGUGUCCACAGGACCCCAUACACCUCCUUCCCACCCACCCUUGGUGCUGGGGGACCUGGCCACUCAGACCUCCCUGGCCAGGGUGACUGGUUCAGCAAUGGGUGUGUGACCUGAGCCUGACCGAUCGGGUCCAGCUGAGUCCGAAGGCCGUGGCUGGAAUUAUUGGCAAGGGGGGCAUUGUCUGUCGCAGCAGCUUGCGAAUUCUCUCCCCACUCUGAGGAGAGCUGCCCACUUGUGAAGCCAGCAACGGCCACGGAUCCUCUGCUACUUGA
This 1350-nucleotide long non-coding RNA is filed under the name Oryctolagus cuniculus (rabbit). Its description in RNAcentral is "lncRNA (ENSOCUG00000035226.1)". Lineage: Eukaryota; Metazoa; Chordata; Mammalia; Lagomorpha; Leporidae. The record is from RNAcentral.